RNAcentral lists this ribosomal RNA (1356 nucleotides) under Micromonospora sp. Its description in RNAcentral is "bacterial SSU rRNA". It matches the Rfam family "Bacterial small subunit ribosomal RNA", at positions 85 to 1455 of the family's 1533-position model. The record is from RNAcentral. Lineage: Bacteria; Bacillati; Actinomycetota; Actinomycetes; Micromonosporales; Micromonosporaceae.
GGGUACUCGAGCGGCGAACGGGUGAGUAACACGUGAGCAACCUGCCCUAGGCUUUGGGAUAACCCCGGGAAACCGGGGCUAAUACCGAAUAUGACCUCUGACUGCAUGGUUGGGGGUGGAAAGUUUUUCGGCCUGGGAUGGGCUCGCGGCCUAUCAGCUUGUUGGUGGGGUGAUGGCCUACCAAGGCGACGACGGGUAGCCGGCCUGAGAGGGCGACCGGCCACACUGGGACUGAGACACGGCCCACACUCCUACGGGAGGCAGCAGUGGGGAAUAUUGCACAAUGGGCGGAAGCCUGAUGCAGCGACGCCGCGUGAGGGAUGACGGCCUUCGGGUUGUAAACCUCUUUCUGCAUGGACGAAGCGUAAGUGACGGUACCUGCAGAAGAAGCGCCGGCCAACUACGUGCCAGCAGCCGCGGUAAUACGUAGGGCGCGAGCGUUKUCCGGAUUUAUUGGGCGUAAAGAGCUCGUAGGCGGCUUGUCGCGUCGACUGUGAAAACCCGCAGCUCAACUGCGGGCCUGCAGUCGAUACGGGCAGGCUAGAGUUCGGUAGGGGAGACUGGAAUUCCUGGUGUAGCGGUGAAAUGCGCAGAUAUCAGGAGGAACACCGGUGGCGAAGGCGUGUCUCUGGGCCGAUACUGACGCUGAGGAGCGAAAGCGUGGGGAGCGAACAGGAUUAGAUACCCUGGUAGUCCACGCUGUAAACGUUGGGCGCUAGGUGUGGGGGGCCUCUCCGGUUCCCUGUGCCGCAGCUAACGCAUUAAGCGCCCCGCCUGGGGAGUACGGCCGCAAGGCUAAAACUCAAAGGAAUUGACGGGGGCCCGCACAAGCGGCGGAGCAUGCGGAUUAAUUCGAUGCAACGCGAAGAACCUUACCUGGGUUUGACAUGGCCGCAAAACUCGCAGAGAUGUGAGGUCCUUCGGGGGCGGUCACAGGUGGUGCAUGGCUGUCGUCAGCUCGUGUCGUGAGAUGUUGGGUUAAGUCCCGCAACGAGCGCAACCCUCGUUCGAUGUUGCCAGCGCGUAAUGGCGGGGACUCAUCGAAGACUGCCGGGGUCAACUCGGAGGAAGGUGGGGAUGAGGUCAAGUCAUCAUGCCCCUUAUGUCCAGGGCUUCACGCAUGCUACAAUGGCCGGUACAAUGGGCUGCGAUACCGUGAGGUGGAGCGAAUCCCAAAAAGCCGGUCUCAGUUCGGAUCGGGGUCUGCAACUCGACCCCGUGAAGUCGGAGUCGCUAGUAAUCGCAGAUCAGCAACGCUGCGGUGAAUACGUUCCCGGGCCUUGUACACACCGCCCGUCACGUCACGAAAGUCGGCAACACCCGAAGCCGGUGGCCCAACCCUUGUGGAGGGAGCCG